GCGAAAUAGCAGCUCCAAUAGCUCCAGUGCAGGAAGCAGCUAAUUUCAUGGCUAUUACUAAAGGCUGCUGUAGAGACUCAGUUACUCUCUUUGAACUGGGAUUAGUAACGAGGAAGAACAAAACAGUGCUCUUAUCUGGUCCUGAUAUUUAUUUGGCGCUGCAGGGUUGACUGGAAGAGAGCUCAGCUGUUUUACUCUAAUGUGAAUUUUAAAAGUCACUUCCCUUCAGCUUUUUCCUGACAGACAAAUGUAAAAGUGAGAACAAAUCAGGAACACAUGCUUGACAGAGACAAACAUCUGGAGCUGCUGCUGGCAACAAUAAGACUUCUGGAGGACAAGGUUUGUUUGCAACUUUGAUGUCCUGAUUCAGCUGGAAAAAAACACCUCAAAAACCAGGAGACAAAAGUGAGAUGACCAUCAGCGUCUGUAAACGCACUUCUCUGAUGAUUGCCUCCCUGAGCAGAGACAGACGGCCUGUAUGAGUUCAGUCCUGGGGGAAAUAAAGUACAGCUCUGUGCACCGAGUGCGUUACAAAUCAUGUUUAUUGUUGAGCUUUCUGUCAUUAAACC
Oreochromis aureus is the source of this 569-nucleotide long non-coding RNA. The record is from Ensembl. NCBI's taxonomy places the organism in Eukaryota, Metazoa, Chordata, Actinopteri, Cichliformes, Cichlidae.